GACGAACGCUGGUGGCGUGCUUAACACAUGCAAGUCGAACGGUGAAGCGCCUUCCUUUUUGGUGGGUGUGGAUGAGUGGCGAACGGGUGAGUAACACGUGAGUAACCUGCCCCCUUCUUCUGGAUAACCGCAUGAAAGUGUGGCUAAUACGGGAUAUUCUGGGUCUGUCGCAUGAUGGGUCUGGGAAAGAUAUUGUUUCGGUGGGGGAUGGGCUCGCGGCCUAUCAGCUUGUUGGUGGGGUGAUGGCCUACCAAGGCGGUGACGGGUAGCCGGCCUGAGAGGGUGGACGGUCACACUGGGACUGAGACACGGCCCAGACUCCUACGGGAGGCAGCAGUGGGGAAUAUUGCACAAUGGGCGCAAGCCUGAUGCAGCGACGCCGCGUGAGGGAUGGAGGCCUUCGGGUUGUGAACCUCUUUCGCCAGUGAAGCAGGCCUGCCUCGUUUGUGGGUGGGUUGACGGUAGCUGGAUAAGAAGCGCCGGCUAACUACG
Molecule: ribosomal RNA, 492 nt
Filed under: uncultured bacterium
Lineage: Bacteria
Description: partial 16S ribosomal RNA
Rfam family: Bacterial small subunit ribosomal RNA
Source: RNAcentral